This 498-nucleotide ribosomal RNA is filed under the name uncultured bacterium. RNAcentral describes it as "partial 16S ribosomal RNA". It matches the Rfam family "Bacterial small subunit ribosomal RNA", at positions 29 to 507 of the family's 1533-position model. The record is from RNAcentral.
ACGCACGCUGGCGGCGUGCCUAAUACAUGCAAGUCGAGCGGACCAAACAGGAGCUUGCUCUUGUUUGGUUAGCGGCGGACGGGUGAGUAACACGUGGGUAACCUGCCCGUAAGACCGGGAUAACUCCGGGAAACCGGAGCUAAUACCGGAUAACACCGAAGACCGCAUGGUCUUUGGUUGAAAGGCGGCUUCGGCUGCCACUUACGGAUGGGCCCGCGGCGCAUUAGCUAGUUGGUGAGGUAACGGCUCACCAAGGCGACGAUGCGUAGCCGGCCUGAGAGGGUGACCGGCCACACUGGGACUGAGACACGGCCCAGACUCCUACGGGAGGCAGCAGUAGGGAAUCUUCCGCAAUGGACGAAAGUCUGACGGAGCGACGCCGCGUGAGCGAAGAAGGUCUUCGGAUCGUAAAGCUCUGUUGUUAGGGAAGAAGAAGCGCCGUUCGAACAGGGCGGCGCGGUGACGGUACCUAACGAGAAAGCCCCGGCUAACUACGUG